UGGGGAAUAUUGCACAAUGGGCGCAAGCCUGAUGCAGCCAUGCCGCGUGUAUGAAGAAGGCCUUCGGGUUGUAAAGUACUUUCAGCGGGGAGGAAGGGAGUAAAGUUAAUACCUUUGCUCAUUGACGUUACCCGCAGAAGAAGCACCGGCUAACUCCGUGCCAGCAGCCGCGGUAAUACGGAGGGUGCAAGCGUUAAUCGGAAUUACUGGGCGUAAAGCGCACGCAGGCGGUUUGUUAAGUCAGAUGUGAAAUCCCCGGGCUCAACCGGGGAACUGCAUCUGAUACUGGCAAGCUUGAGUCUCGUAGAGGGGGGUAGAAUUCCAGGUGUAGCGGUGAAAUGCGUAGAGAUCUGGGGGAAUACCGGUGGCGAAGGCGGCCCCCUGGGCGAAGACUGACGCUCAGGUGCGAAAGCGUGGGGAGCAAACAGG
Molecule: ribosomal RNA, 429 nt
Filed under: Chloroflexota bacterium
Lineage: Bacteria; Bacillati; Chloroflexota
Description: Chloroflexi bacterium partial 16S ribosomal RNA
Rfam family: Bacterial small subunit ribosomal RNA
Source: RNAcentral